UCUGCCUCUCAUUGCCAGGAAAAUAUUUUCCUCCUUUUCAGCAGGAAAAAAAGAGGAGUAUUAGCUGAGUUGCUGGGAGAGAAGAACAAGUGAACAUUCCCUCUGCCAAUGCAGGCUCCUUCCCCCGGGCUGGCCAUUGGGCCCCUCUCGGGCAAGACUUGAUUCUAUUUUUCUCUGAAGUUCUCUCAUUUGACAAGUGAAAAGAGCCUUCCCAGCUACACCACAGUGCUCAGAGAAUGAAAGAAGGAAAGAAGGAGCCCGCGAAUGAGGCAUCGGAUGAUGGGUGGACUUUACCUCAUCAACUUUACCUCCCAUGAGGUUUCCUCCUGUGUGUUUGCCUCAGUUUCCUCACUGGAAGAACCGACAAGAAAAAUGCUUGCUCCUGCCUGGGAAUCUGCCACCAGGUUCCAGAUGCUACCAUGAUGCCAACCUGACUUCCCUGGGCAGAUGACUCCGCCAAUGUGUCCUGGAGCCCCGCUUCCCCAAACUCCCCCCCUACUAGGGAAAGAGAGAGAUAUGCUGGGAGUAUGGAUCGACCUGUCAACGCCCAUGUUCAGCGGGGAAGCAAUUACAGAAGCCAGACCUUCCAUCCUCUGCAUCCCACAAUGACCUUGGGUCCAUACUCCCAGAGGGAUAAAGAAUAGGAAAGCUAUCAGGGGAGGGGAUGGGAUACAGAGUUCCGGUGGUAGGAAUUGUGUGAAGUACCCCUCUUAUCCUAUGGUCUUGUCUAUAUUUCCAUUUUAUAAAUAAAAUUUUCUU
This is a long non-coding RNA of Erinaceus europaeus (western European hedgehog), 759 nucleotides long. RefSeq lists it as uncharacterized. NCBI's taxonomy places the organism in Eukaryota, Metazoa, Chordata, Mammalia, Eulipotyphla, Erinaceidae. The transcript is spliced from 3 exons. The record is from RefSeq and is a predicted model, not a curated record.